GGUUAAUAAUUAACUGUACCGAAGACAGUAGGUGACGCAAGUCUUAAUUUCCUACCGAGGACAAUGAUUGAUGAAAUAGAUCAAUGGUCCCUCUAUGUCAACGGUGGCAUGGAGUUUUGUUGUUUUACA
This is a non-coding RNA of Enterococcus sp., 129 nucleotides long. The record is from Rfam. NCBI's taxonomy places the organism in Bacteria, Bacillati, Bacillota, Bacilli, Lactobacillales, Enterococcaceae.